RNAcentral lists this ribosomal RNA (387 nucleotides) under uncultured bacterium. Its description in RNAcentral is "bacterial SSU rRNA". It matches the Rfam family "Bacterial small subunit ribosomal RNA", at positions 28 to 417 of the family's 1533-position model. The record is from RNAcentral.
GACGAACGCUGGCGGCGUGCUUAACACAUGCAAGUCGAGCGGUAAGGCCCUUUCGGGGGUACACGAGCGGCGAACGGGUGAGUAACACGUGGGUGACCUGCCCUCAGCUCUGGGAUAAGCCUGGGAAACCGGGUCUAAUACUGGAUAUGACUCCAUGACGCAUGUUGUGGGGUGGAAAGCCUUGUGCGGCUGAGGAUGGGCCCGCGGCCUAUCAGCUUGUUGGUGGGGUGANGGCCUACCAAGGCGACGACGGGUAGCCGGCCUGAGAGGCGACCGGCCACACUGGGACUGAGACACGGCCCAGACUCCUACGGGAGGCAGCAGUGGGGAAUCUUGCGCAAUGGGCAAAGCCUAGACGCAGCGACGCCGCGUGAGGGAUGACGGCCU